GUUAAAUCCUCAGAAAUGUGUAAAUGCAUAUUCAUGGAUAAUUUCAGAAAUUUUUUUAAACAAAUUAAAGUAAUGAAGAAGGAAAUCAGGCCCUGCAACUAAUCUUAUAUACCUAACUAAUUACUUCUACCAAAUAACCACAAACAUGAUCUUCAAUGAUUAAACAUCUCUUCAACGCUUAAACAUCUUGCCCCUUUAACAAUGGGGAGUAGGGUUUAAGGAUUUACAUGAAAUCUAUGAACUAAUCCCAUACAAUUGUUAUCCAGAAUAGUUAUCCAAGAAUGCUCAAAAAACUGUACUGGCCAAGUCAAGCAAAGCAAGAAAAAGCAUAAUCAUGAAAUUCAU
This 345-nucleotide unclassified non-coding RNA is filed under the name Hevea brasiliensis (rubber tree). Lineage: Eukaryota; Viridiplantae; Streptophyta; Magnoliopsida; Malpighiales; Euphorbiaceae. The record is from RNAcentral.